This 187-nucleotide unclassified non-coding RNA is filed under the name rhizosphere metagenome. RNAcentral's name for it is "partial ribosomal RNA internal transcribed spacer region". The record is from RNAcentral.
GUAGGUGAACCUGCGGAAGGAUCAUUCUAGAUAUUUUAGCAUAAGCUAUUAUAUAAUGUGAACUGUUUUAGCCAUUUGGCGAUGUCAAAGUCGUCUUGUGGCGCCCUAUUAUUAUUUACCCUAUUAAUUUUUUAUACAAGUAAUCAUAAUUUUAUGACAACUUUUAGCAAUGGAUCUCUAGGCUCUC